Molecule: ribosomal RNA, 644 nt
Filed under: Bacillus sp. 14078
Lineage: Bacteria; Bacillati; Bacillota; Bacilli; Caryophanales; Bacillaceae
Description: bacterial SSU rRNA
Rfam family: Bacterial small subunit ribosomal RNA
Source: RNAcentral
AGUCGAGCGAAUGGAUUAAGAGCUUGCUCUUAUGAAGUUAGCGGCGGACGGGUGAGUAACACGUGGGUAACCUGCCCAUAAGACUGGGAUAACUCCGGGAAACCGGGGCUAAUACCGGAUAACAUUUUGAACUGCAUGGUUCGAAAUUGAAAGGCGGCUUCGGCUGUCACUUAUGGAUGGACCCGCGUCGCAUUAGCUAGUUGGUGAGGUAACGGCUCACCAAGGCAACGAUGCGUAGCCGACCUGAGAGGGUGAUCGGCCACACUGGGACUGAGACACGGCCCAGACUCCUACGGGAGGCAGCAGUAGGGAAUCUUCCGCAAUGGACGAAAGUCUGACGGAGCAACGCCGCGUGAGUGAUGAAGGCUUUCGGGUCGUAAAACUCUGUUGUUAGGGAAGAACAAGUGCUAGUUGAAUAAGCUGGCACCUUGACGGUACCUAACCAGAAAGCCACGGCUAACUACGUGCCAGCAGCCGCGGUAAUACGUAGGUGGCAAGCGUUAUCCGGAAUUAUUGGGCGUAAAGCGCGCGCAGGUGGUUUCUUAAGUCUGAUGUGAAAGCCCACGGCUCAACCGUGGAGGGUCAUUGGAAACUGGGAGACUUGAGUGCAGAAGAGGAAAGUGGAAUUCCAUGUGUAGCGGUGA